Molecule: long non-coding RNA, 234 nt
Filed under: Prunus dulcis (almond)
Lineage: Eukaryota; Viridiplantae; Streptophyta; Magnoliopsida; Rosales; Rosaceae
Description: sRNA ncRNA
Source: RNAcentral
AUGUCCACAUCAUAUGCUCCAUGGACUAACAAAAUCAAAAUGCUAAAGAUAGAGUGGUUUCAUUUCCAACCAGGGUUAGAUGCUGCCUCUGUUUUGCCACGUCCCUUUGAUUCUGCCAGUUGGACACAAGUACAUGCUAGUUUUGGCUCAGACGGAUACACCUGUAUUGUGCUGAGUGGCGGCAAUAUGUUUGUAUAUUUAUACUGUCUUAUAAAGAAAAACUCCAACACAUAA